AUACGGAGGGUGCAAGCGUUAUCCGGAUUUAUUGGGUUUAAAGGGUGCGCAGGCGGACCUGUCAGUCAGUGGUGAAAUCCCGGGGCUCAACCCCGGAACUGCCAUUGAUACUACAGGUCUUGAAUACGGUUGAAGUAGGCGGAAUGUAGCAUGUAGCGGUGAAAUGCAUAGAUAUGCUACAGAACACCGAUCGCGAAGGCAGCUUACUAAGCCGAUAUUGACGCUCAGGCACGAAAGCGUGGGGAGCGAACAGGAUUAGAUACCCUAGUAGUCC
This 274-nucleotide ribosomal RNA is filed under the name uncultured bacterium. RNAcentral's name for it is "partial 16S ribosomal RNA". It matches the Rfam family "Bacterial small subunit ribosomal RNA", at positions 523 to 796 of the family's 1533-position model. The record is from RNAcentral.